UUCAGUUGCAGGAAUUUAGCCAAUUCAGAGAUCUUGUUCUCCAUAAUUUGGAAUUUUCCUUCGGAUUUGAUCAAGUUGGAUAGAGUUGGUCAAACCCAAUGGGAAAAAGAUGAAAACAACAAGAAACAGAAACAAACAACAACAGCAACAACAACAAAAACAAGGGCAGCAGCUACCCACAAAUCAACAGCCGAGCAAAGCCAGGGCUGUGUGGGAGCUAUGCACAGGUUCUGCCUCCAGAAGCCUUCAGUGCCAGCCUCUGAGCCAGAGGGUUCCAAGCAGAAGAGGUCCUCCAAGCCCCUCUCAGCUCUUACUUACGGCAUCCCAGAUGCCCUAUUCCUCUUCUGCAGAGAGAAGGUGGGUCAGCCACUAAAUGGUGCUGGGACCUUGCAGUUUGGUGGGAAGGAGGAAGCUUACUCAAGCAAGGAAGAUGAGACAGGCAGAAACCCACGCAUAAGU
RNAcentral lists this non-coding RNA (459 nucleotides) under Pan troglodytes (chimpanzee). The record is from RNAcentral. Lineage: Eukaryota; Metazoa; Chordata; Mammalia; Primates; Hominidae.